This 4616-nucleotide long non-coding RNA is filed under the name Canis lupus familiaris (dog). RNAcentral describes it as "lncRNA (ENSCAFG00000056104.1)". The record is from RNAcentral. Lineage: Eukaryota; Metazoa; Chordata; Mammalia; Carnivora; Canidae.
GUUGGAGAGGAUGAGGAGAAAGGGGAACCCUCCUGCACUGUUGGUGGGAAUGGGAACUGGGGCAGCCACUCUGGAAAACUGUGUGGAGGUUCCUCAAAGAGUUAAAAGUGGAAUUUCUUUUUAAAUCGAUUUCCACACAGACAUGGAUCUGGUGUUCUCUUCGAAGCUGGUGCUGGAACUCUGCUGGUUUUCUCCACAUCCCCAACACGCAGCCGCUGCCCGGACCGGGGAGCUGCUUAAGGCCUGGUGGAAAACCUUUGGAGGCCGAUUCAAACUGGCACUUCUGCUGAGUGCUGGUGGCUCUGUGACACAGUUAUGAGAAGAAUGAACCUGAGGCCCCCGGAGCUCAGCGGCGAGCACCUGCCUCGGCUCAGGGCAUGACCCCAGGGUCCCCGGAUCAGAGUCUCGCAUCAGGCUCCCCUGCUUCUCCCUCUGCCAGUGUCUCUGCCUCUCUGUGUGUGUCUUUCAUGAAUAAAUAACUAAAAUCUUAAAAAAAAGAAUGAACGUGACAUUGACUGACCUGGGUCUAGAGCUUAGUUCUUUGUUUAGUACGUAAGUGAACUCAGGCAGAAAUUCCCAGUGCCUCAGUUUCCCCAUCUGUGAAACACGAGUGUCUUCAUACACUGUGUCUGCGUAGAGGUGCCCGUGUCUUUAAAGUACUAGCUCGGAUCCUCUCGCAGUCAGGGUUGUCUUUACUCCUUCAGUGCGUUCCUCUGUCUGGUUACAGGUGUGCAGGCAGAGUGGCUGGUGAAAAGCUCCCCCCACCCCCGCGUGUCCGAAUCCAGGCCUUUGCACCAAGCCUGUGAGUUGGGUAGAGUGCCCCAAGCCUCUGAGCUUUGUUUUCCAGUCUGUGAUGGAAGCAAAGUGCAACCUGUGUUGGAAGAGUCAUCAGUGACGCUGGGGAAGUGCUUAGCAGGGAGCCUCGUAGGGGCUGCAUCAUUCUCAUAUUUAGUUGAGAAUCUGCAAAACUACCAAGGAGGAAGAGGAAAUGCGCGGCUGACUCUUAGAAGGUGGUGGUUUUCCCUCCUCAGUCGCCUGGGCUGGGUUUCCCUCAGUUCCAGGUCAGCUAGAGGCGCCACCUUCCCCAAGGGAGAGAGAGAACCGAGAGACCCCCGUGAACUCCCAAGGCGACCCGGCGAGUGGGGAAGCCAGAGCCCAGCAGGUGGGUCUUCUGACCGCGUGGAUGCUCCGUCCACACCUGGUGACUCGGUGCCCUCCGAGUCCCCACACCUCUCCGCGGCGCCUUCCCGAGUAGAACUGCAUCUCUUACGCCCCCCGCCCCAAGUUCAGGUGCCCCACGCCUUCUGGGCUGUGACAGGCACCGCUCAGCGCCCUGUGAUGGUCCUUCCCGUGCUCACGCACAGCACCCAAGGUGCUGGCCGCCCAGACCUUAUUCCCUUUGCUGGGAGGAAACUGAAUUACUGAUGUGGGCUCGGGGGCCUGCGUUCCAGAAGGACCCAGACACCCAGGGUCUUUGUGUCUCCCUGGCCCAGCAGAGAAAAGCUAAAUUGCAUUUGAAAGCCCUACAAGGGGGACGUUAAUUGAGGCAUAAAAGCGUGUGUCUUUGACCUUCCCAGGACCUGUGGUUCUCCCCUUAUCUGGGGCCUGUUCCUGCUGACACGGGUCGGGUCGCAGCCUCCUGCUUUGCACCGUCACCGAGGCUCCGGCUCCGGCUCCGGGUCUCCCUGCUCCACAGUGGGCCUGUGCGCUCAGCUCGCCAGUGUUUCUGUGAGCAUUUCUGAGCCUCCUUCCUGGGACUUCCCAGCCCCGGAAUAAUUUCUCAUAUCUGUCCCAAGUCCCAGUCUCAACGACAGGACUCGCUGACUUCACGGUGGGAUUUGGGGAUUUUGUAGGAAGCCGUGUCCACUCACUCACUCACUCACUCAUUUGUUCACUUUUAAUUUCUCAGUCCCUCACUCAUCCGUGCACUUCUCCAGCCUUUCACUUACGUUUUGGUCCCAUUUCCAGGCAUUUGUUGAUUGAGCCAAAGAGGACUGACUACGUGUGACAUAAGUUGGAUCGAGUCACUGUGGAAGCGUAAGGACUCCUGCAUGCACGGAGCUGUUUGAGUUAGUGAAAAUGGCUGGAGGGAGCUCGUGCAGUGGCCUAAAAUCCCUGUAACGUUGCAUUUUCCAGAAAAGUGUUCAUCCAGGGUUGUUUGAAGGUCUAGGGCUAUAUUUAGUGAGCAAGUCAGCUCAGUUAAAAAUUAGUUUUGGGAGUGAAAGAAAGACCUGAGUUCAGACGUCAGCUUUGCCACUUACCAGUGAUAGGACUCUGGGCUAGGUACUUAAACUGCUCUGAGCCUCACUGUCUUCAUUUUUAUUUUAUUAUUUUAUUUUAUUUUAUUAUUUUAUUUUAUUUUAUUUUAUUUAUUUAUUUUAAUUCUUUUAAUUAAUUUAGCUGUCUUUAUUUUUAUUAUUUUUUUCAUUUUCAGUGAAUUUACUUAUUUAUUUUUUUAUUGUUCAAUUUGCCAACAUAUAGCAUAACACCCAGUGCUCAUCCCAUCAAGUGCCCCCCUCAGUGCCUGUUACCCAGUCACCCCCACUCCCCGCCCUCCUCCCCUUCCACCACCCCUUCCUUGUUUGUUUCCCAGAGUUAGGAGUCUCUUAUGUUCUGUGUCCCUCUCUGAUAUUUCCCACUCAUUUUCUCUCCUUUCCCCUUUAUUCCCUUUCACUAUUUUUUAUAUUCCCCAAAUGAAUGAGACCAUAUAAUGUUUGUCCUUCUCCUAUUGACUUACCUCACUCAGCAUAAUACCCUCCAGUUCCAUUCACGUUGAAGCAAAUGGUGGGUAUUUGUCGUUUCUAAUGGCUGAGGAAUAUUCCAUUGUAUCCAUAAACCACAGCUUCUCUAUCCAUCAUUUCUUGAUGGACACCGAGGCCCCUUCCACAGUUUGGCUAUUGUGGCCAUUGCUGCUAGAAACAUCGGGGUGCAGGUGUCCCAGCGUUUCACUGCAUCUGUAUCUUUGGGGUAAAUCCCCAACAGUGCAAUUGGUGGGUCCUAGGGCAGGUCUAUUUUUGACUCUUUGAGGAACCUCCACACAGUUUUCCAGAGUGGCUGCACCAGGUCACAUUCCCACCAACAGUGUAAGAGGGUUCCCCUUUCUCCACAUCCUCUCCAACAUUUGUGGUUUCCUGCCUUGUUAAUUUUCCCCAUUCUCACUGGUGUGAGGUGGGAUCUCAUCGUGGUUUUGAUUUGUAUUUCCCUGAUGGCAAGUGAUGCAGAACAUGUUCUCAUGUGCAUGUUGGCCAUGUCUGUGUCUUCCUCGGUGAGAUUUCUGUUCAUGUCUUUUGCCCAUUUCAUGAUGGAUUGUUUGUUUCUUUGCUGUUGAGUUUAAGAAGUUCUUUAUAGAUCUUGGAAACUAGCCCUUUAUCUGAUACGUCAUUUGCAAAUAUCUCCUCCCAUCCUGUAGGUUGUCUUGUAGUUUUGCUGACUGUAUCCUUUGCUGUGCAGCAGCUUCUUAUCUUGAUGAAGUCCCAAUAGUUCAUUUUUGCUUUUGUUUCUUUUGCCUUCGUGGAUGUAUCUUGCCAGAAGUUACUGUGGCCGAGUUCCAAAAGGGUGUUGCCUGUGUUCUCCUCUAGGAUUUUGAUGGAAUCUUGUCUCACAUUUAGAUCUUUCAUACAUUUUGAGUUUAUCUUUGUGUAUGGUGCAAGGGAGUGGUCUAGUUUCAUUCUUCUGCAUGUGGAUGUCCAAUUUUCCCAGCACCAUUUAUUGAAGAGACUGUCUUUAUUUUUAAAAGAGAGGUCCUAAUAUCUACCUGGGAAAAGAGAAGACAUGUGGACGUACCCACACGGAUCCUGGCACACCACCGUUGGCGCUGGCAUUAUUACUACUGCCCACGAUGAAGGCGGGUUUGGACCACCAGACAGCAUUGCUGAUGGGUCCCUGUGUCCUCUGCGGAAUCACAGAUACUCUGAUGGUCUCAUAAGAAACAAGCUGAAAAAUGGGCCUUCCUUGAGGAAGCCGGCAGCAUAGAAUAAAAUGAAACCGCUGAUGCUUUAGACUUUACUUUCACCACCUCCUGGGGGGCGGGGGGAAGGACUGGAGGCCCCUGUGUGUGGGACAGCAGGAGUGACAUCAGGGAGAGUGAGAGACACAGGUGAUAAGUGGGCACGAUGGCAGCAACACGGCCAGCUCAGGAAUGCCUGAACUUCCCUGCCUCCAUCUGGGGAUGCCUCCCCUGUUGAAAGCACCCAUCCAUUCUUGUAUCUAUUUGCAACACGGUUCUGUUUGGCGUGCUAAGUUCUGGAUGGGUUUCUGAAGAGCCACUGCCACUGCACUUCUAAGGUAGUCUUCAUAUGAUUGUUCUCUUUUUCCCACCUUGCCUUGCAGUGGCUUUGCUCUAUUCAGAGCACCUCUUGCUCGGAAAUCCCAUAGUAAAACAGAUAUGGGGUCUGUUGCAGUUGAAAUUGGGGUCAGCUUAUGGAGCCUGUCCAUUCAGCGCCCCCCUGGCCCUGUCCUGUCCUCCCAUCCUAGGUAGGCUUGCGGGGGUUCUGGAGCACCCCUUUAGUUUAGGGACUGAAGAUUCAAGACCUCACGUGGCUAUUGCCAAUGUGCAACCCUGUUUUACCAGAGGAUGAAAUAAUAACCAUUUGCACCAACAUGCUCAAAACCCAGGA